RNAcentral lists this ribosomal RNA (258 nucleotides) under uncultured bacterium. RNAcentral's name for it is "partial 16S ribosomal RNA". It matches the Rfam family "Bacterial small subunit ribosomal RNA", at positions 96 to 354 of the family's 1533-position model. The record is from RNAcentral.
UGGCGGACGGGUGAGUAACGCGUGAGGAACCUGCCUUUCAGAGGGGGACAACAGUUGGAAACGACUGCUAAUACCGCAUAACGUACGGGUAUCGCAUGGUACUGGUACCAAAGAUUUAUCGCUGAGAGAUGGCCUCGCGUCUGAUUAGCUAGUUGGUAGGGUAACGGCCUACCAAGGCGACGAUCAGUAGCCGGACUGAGAGGUUGGCCGGCCACAUUGGGACUGAGAUACGGCCCAGACUCCUACGGGAGGCAGCAG